This 300-nucleotide unclassified non-coding RNA is filed under the name uncultured Olpidiaceae. RNAcentral describes it as "sequence contains 5.8S rRNA gene, ITS2". The stretch from base 1 to 71 matches the Rfam family "5.8S ribosomal RNA", at positions 84 to 154 of the family's 154-position model. Lineage: Eukaryota; Fungi; Olpidiomycota; Olpidiomycetes; Olpidiales; Olpidiaceae. The record is from RNAcentral.
GUGAGUCAUCGAAUCUUUGAACGCAUAUUGCGCUCUUUGGUAUUCCAGAGAGCAUGCCUGUUUGAGUAUUGGUACAAUGGGUGAACUUCCUUUGAAUUUUCAAAGUAAAAUCAUAUAAAACCCUAUUGAGACGUCUUGGCAAUCUUUUUUGACAAGUGUCUUAAAAUUGAAUUUUCCAUGUUCCAGUGGACGAUGUCUAGUUUAUGGAGUAAUAUGGUAAGGGUUGCCCCUGACCUGAAAAAGUGCUGUCAAAGGCGCUUUUUCUUACUUUUUUACUAGCAAAGUGCUGUCAAAGGCGCU